CCGAAGAGGCAACAUGUAAGCUGUCACACUGAAAAAGUAACUGAAACAGGAUAAGACUGACAUCUCUGCCUUCAUUGUGUGUCUGUAUUUGGCCUGAAGUCACAGAGCUCAAUUCAGGGAAACCAAUCUCUAAGUAGUUGAUUGGCUCCUGUUGGCCUCUUCCUAGUCAUGUCCAGCCUCCCAUAUAAGAAAGAUUCUGUUCUGGGCCAGUAAUAUGGUUCGGUGACCACUUGCCACACAAGCCUGACAAUGUGAAUUUGAACCCUGGGACCCACAUAAACGUCAAAGGAGAGAAGAUAGUCCACGGAGCUGUCCUCUCACGUCUUCUUGUGAGUUGUAGCAAGUAUGCUUUCCCCAUCUUGCAAAAGCCACAGAUUGACAACAAAACAUUACAAAUAUAAGAGAGAUCCCUUUCCCCACGGCCCGUUUGUUAUG
Long non-coding RNA from Myodes glareolus (Bank vole), 435 nucleotides. RefSeq lists it as uncharacterized. The record is from RefSeq and is a predicted model, not a curated record. NCBI's taxonomy places the organism in Eukaryota, Metazoa, Chordata, Mammalia, Rodentia, Cricetidae.